RNAcentral lists this unclassified non-coding RNA (1580 nucleotides) under Priapulus caudatus. RNAcentral's name for it is "phosphatidate cytidylyltransferase, mitochondrial- like, transcript variant X1". The record is from RNAcentral. Lineage: Eukaryota; Metazoa; Priapulida; Priapulimorpha; Priapulimorphida; Priapulidae.
AAUAACAUGUUGGAUGUUAUCUUCAUUGUUAAAUCCCCAGAGCAAUGGCAUCGAAAAAACCUAGAGGAAAAUAGAAGACAUUAUUCCUUCCUGAAAGUGUUUGGCCCAAGAUCAAUUUCUCGGAUUCAGGAUGGCACGGGAGCUGUGUUUAUUUCAAACACAUUGGUACCAUGGGAAAACAGGCUUAUCAAGUAUGGCGUGAUCAGUCGGCAUCGGUUUGUGCAGGACAUGCUGGAUUGGGACACUCUUUACAUUAGUGGCAGGCUUCAUAAACCAGUGCUGUGGUUGAAGGACACACGGCUGAACAAGGUAAACACUGCCGUCCACGUAAACCUACAGAGCGCCGUCCACACUGCCCUCCUUAUGCUGCCGGAGUGCUUCAACGAACAGGAUCUAUUCCUCAGCAUCGCUGGCAUCAGUUACUCGGGGGACUUCAGAAUGACAGUGGGAGAGGAUAGAGGCAAAGUAAAGAACAUCGUUGGCCCCAAUCUGCACCGGUUUCGAGAACUGUAUGAGAAUAUUCUAGACAACAUGCAGCACCUGCAUUGGAACAAAAGCAUCGCGUCAUUCGAGCAAUCCAACGACCAUAGCUGCCUGUACCAUCACCUCAGUCUGCUGCCGAAAACUAUGCAGCUGCUCAUUUGGGAGCAUAUCAAUAAAGAUGGCCGCCAUCGGGACCUAGAGGAGAGUCUGAUGUCUGUCUCACACGACUACGAGUGCAGCUACAUAGUAGCCAACGCCAUCACGAGGAUAGUGCAGCGAUCCAGCCUCACGCAGAGUGUGAAGGGAAUUUUCACGGCAGGAAUGGUGAAGUCAAUGAAAUACAGUGGGCAGAAGUUAAAGAAGAUGGCAAAGAGUUUAAGGAGUUGACAGUCAGUAUCUGAGUGCCAACAACAACAAAUUAGUGAAAGUAUCAGCAGAACACCUUACCGGCAAUAACAGGAGUUUGAGGGUGUGCAUGAGUCAUCAAUGCUGGUAGUGCCAUGUAGCCAAGUCUGCAUUGUACAGAUAGCCUCUCAUCAUUUGAUGGCGAUAUCAGAGCAUUGCCUCGCUGAUGCAUGCUAAUGAUCACCACAGUCAAGUCGCCUGUGUCUUCUAUAAUUUUAUUGCACAGUUAUCAUGCAUGAGGUUAGUAAUAAGCUGAUAAUAAUCAGUUUAGCGUGCUUUAUGUGAUGAGAAAUAGUACGAAUCAAACAGUGUAAGAAAUUAUGAUACUUUUGCAUGAACGUGGAAAGAAUAUAACAAGAUCCUCAUACAUUUGUUUUGUAAAUAAUCUAGAUUUACUUAGGUAAUCGUUUAAUAUGAUAUGUAUAGCAAUUGUUAUCUGUGAACAUUUUAAGUAAAACUUGUAUUGUACACCUUAGAAACUGGAGUGUAUGGAUUUGUGGUUCGUUCAACAAGCCAAACUAGCUUUGUUAGAAGUUCAGUAAUUAUUUUCAUCUAAAUAAUUCACACAGUUCACAAACUUUCUCUUAGACGCUGGCAGGGGCAUAGGUUGAGGCAGGUCUCCUCUUUGUAAAUGUAAAAUUGAUGGCUGUACAGUACCUAUGAGGGCUAUAAAGUGAAUAUAUACAUAUUCA